This 1284-nucleotide ribosomal RNA is filed under the name Hypoxylon hainanense. RNAcentral describes it as "partial large subunit ribosomal RNA". It matches the Rfam family "Eukaryotic large subunit ribosomal RNA", at positions 71 to 1116 of the family's 3401-position model. The record is from RNAcentral. Lineage: Eukaryota; Fungi; Ascomycota; Sordariomycetes; Xylariales; Hypoxylaceae.
GGGAUUGCCCUAGUAACGGCGAGUGAAGCGGCAACAGCUCAAAUUUGAAAUCUGGCCCUCGCGGUCCGAGUUGUAAUUUGCAGAGGAUGCUUUAGGUGCGGUGCCUUCCGAGUUCCCUGGAACGGGACGCCAGAGAGGGUGAGAGCCCCGUACGGUUGGACGCCUACCCUGUAUACAGCUCCUUCGACGAGUCGAGUAGUUUGGGAAUGCUGCUCUAAAUGGGAGGUAAAUUUCUUCUAAAGCUAAAUACCGGCCAGAGACCGAUAGCGCACAAGUAGAGUGAUCGAAAGAUGAAAAGCACUUUGAAAAGAGGGUUAAAUAGUACGUGAAAUUGUUGAAAGGGAAGCGUUUGCGACCAGACCUUCUCCUGGCGGAUCAUCCGGCGUUCUCGCCGGUGCACUUCGCCUGGGGUAGGCCAGCAUCGGUUUCCUUAGGGGGAUAAAGGCUCUGGGAACGUGGCUCCUUCGGGAGUGUUAUAGCCCUCAGCGUAAUACCUUUAGGGGGACCGAGGACCGCGCUUUUGCAAGGAUGCUGGCAUAAUGGUCGUCAACGACCCGUCUUGAAACACGGACCAAGGAGUCGAACAUUUGUGCGAGUGUUUGGGUAUCAAACCCUCACGCGUAAUGAAAGUGAACGGAGGCGAGAGCCCUAGGGCGCAUCGUCGACCGAUCCUGAUGUCUUCGGAUGGAUUUGAGUAAGAGCAUAACUGUUCGGACCCGAAAGAUGGUGAACUAUGCGUGGAUAGGGUGAAGCCAGAGGAAACUCUGGUGGAGGCUCGCAGCGGUUCUGACGUGCAAAUCGAUCGUCAAAUCUGCGCAUGGGGGCGAAAGACUUAUCGAACCAUUAAACACCAGCGGUAAAUCGAAUUUACUAGGUGGUUAAGAGGCCCCCCGCGAGGGGCGAGGCCUAGGCGGGUCGGGUCGGCUUACCCGGUAGCUACCCUGUAGCUAUCCUGUAAGGAGCUACCCUGGAGCUACCCUGCACCUACCUACCCGGUAGGAGGGGUUGCUCCUGGGUGGUCGACCGACCCCCCGCCGACACCGCUAAAUUGCGGGGACGUCCUACUGAAGGCCACGGGCUACCGCCGGGCGCUGAAAAGCGUGCUGCCGGCACCGAGAAUAGCGCUCUCGGGUAUGGUAACAACGCCCGUGGUAACGGAUGACCUGCAGCCAACCCCGCCAACGUACAGCGUACCAGGGGAGAGUUCACUGACUAGACAGCGGUGGGUCUGCGCAGUAUGCCCUGCGCAGGCCUAAGACAUAGUCGAUCCGGGCCCUGAAAAGG